RNAcentral lists this ribosomal RNA (254 nucleotides) under uncultured bacterium. RNAcentral describes it as "partial 16S ribosomal RNA". It matches the Rfam family "Bacterial small subunit ribosomal RNA", at positions 524 to 776 of the family's 1533-position model. The record is from RNAcentral.
UACAGAGGGUGCAAGCGUUGUUCGGAAUUAUUGGGCGUAAAGGGCGCGUAGGCGGUGCCACAAGUCACCUGUGAAAUCUCCGGGCUUAACUCGGAGCCUGCAGGCGAAACUGUGGUGCUGGAGUGUGGGAGAGGUGCGUGGAAUUCCCGGUGGAUGCGGUGAAAUGCGUAGAGAUCGGAAAGAACACCAACGGCGAAAGCACUCUGCUGGGCCGACACUGACACUGAGAGACGAAAGCUAGGGGAGCGAAUGGG